Long non-coding RNA from Mustela lutreola (European mink), 2542 nucleotides. RefSeq lists it as uncharacterized. The record is from RefSeq and is a predicted model, not a curated record. Lineage: Eukaryota; Metazoa; Chordata; Mammalia; Carnivora; Mustelidae. The transcript is spliced from 4 exons.
GAUGCCUUGUUUGGUGAGCUCUUGUAAUUUUUGUUUCAUUUAUGUAUUUGCAAACAACACCUCACCUAUUCACAGGAUUGUGACUCAGAGCUGAGAAAUAAAUACAUUUCCCUGUUACCACUGAUCAGGAUGUUUACUUCAACUUUUUGACCUUUUUUUCUUCUAAGCAAAGUCAUGUGGCCUGCAUCUUUAAAACCUGGACUGAAGAAUUUUGCCAAACAGAAAGAGAAGAAUUGGUUUAUCCUACCUGGGGAUUUUCUACAGCGACUUUGUUUACUUGACUGACUCCUCUUGUUAUCAGAGGUCUCUGGAUAUUGAAGCAAUUAAGAGCUACAGAAAACAACUGUGGACUUCUCAGUGCCUUUCCAGGCCCGGCUGGUAUGAAGACUGAGCCUAACACCUUUGCAAAGUGGCAUUUGAGUGAUUUAUAAUGAAGACAAACCUAAGUGAUCAGCGCAGAGCAGACACUUACACCAAAGAAGCAGAUCCUGGUGACAGGCCACCGUCCUCAGCAGGCUGGGAAGCAAGAAUAUCUCGGACAUGAACUAACCUGUCCUUGUCGUGGAAGGAAAGGGGCAGCCUCCCAACAGACCCAGGCUUCUAUUUCCUCUAUUGCAAAAUGGCCCCGGUGUGGGAACAUGGCUAGUAAUCUCCGCAGGCACAGAGAACACAAGACCCUGUCUGACGAACAGUGCCGCUGGCCUGCCAGUCAUGUGCAGCGGGGUAUACUUUGUCUUGGGAUCUCCAUUUUCCUCCCGACGCUGACAGUUGUUUCUGAUUUUCCUGUUCACUUCAAAUGGCUCCCCACCCCUACUCCCCUACUCCCCACAAACUUCUGUUCUUCCCUCCUUUAUUUGCAGUGGUUCCUAAGUCAUGUCUCAACCAUUUAUACAUUAAUAAGAAGUUCAGCCAGUGUUUGAUUCCCUGUGGAUAUUACAUUAUAUAUUGUAUGCAUGUGUAUACACAGCAUAGAUUCCAUACACAUAGUACACAUAAACCUAUAUAUAAAAUAAUAGUAGCUCCUCAAUAUGGGAAAAAGGUUUUGUGCCUCAUUAGAGAAUUACUUAGCUUGGCUUCCUUCUUACAUAUCAGUGUCCUUUUUCUGUCAUAAAAUAAAUCUCAGACAAAUUUGGGAACAAGUUUUAAAUAAAAAGUAGAAAAAUUUCUUUUACUCUUUAGAGGGAUAGAAGAAUACUAUCCCUCAGAAUUGACUACCUUAAAUAUUUUGGGGUAUUUUUCUAUCUCUUCUCACUUUUAAAAUUGUAAAAUAUUUGUACCUUUAAAAAAAAAAGUAUAGAGAAACGUUUACUUUCUUGUUUUAGACAUGAUUCUAACAACGUUGAUUUCAUUUCCCUCCCCACAGUAGGUUAGAGAUAGCAAUUUUAAAGCAGAGAUAUUGACAAAGAAAGAUAGCAGGUAGACAAGAAUUGAGACUCCCUAACUCUGCUGUCCUAUGCUUAUCCUCUUGAAGGCUGGUAAGUGAGAAAAGCAGGGUUAGACAAAAGAAUUGGGGGCAAUAAUUCCCUGUAUAUAACUUGAAACUGAGUCAUCAAGACAAGACAACCUACUAAAUGGGAGAGGGUAUUUGCAAAUUAUAUAUCCAAUAAGGGAUUCAUAUUUAAGAUACAUAAAUAACUUUACAACUCAACACCCAAAAACCCCAAAACAAUCGAAUUAAGAAACAGGUAGAGGAACUAAAUAGAUUUUUUUUUUCCCAAGAAGACAUAAAGAUGCCCAAAAAACACGUGAAAAGAUGUUUAACAUCAUUCAUCAUCAGGGAAAUACAUAUCAAAACCACAAUGAGAUAUUACCUUACACUUGUCGAAAUGGCUAAUAUCAAAAAGACAAGAAAAAACAACUGCUGGUGAGGAUCUGGAGAAAUGUAACCCUCAGGCACUUUUGAUGAGAAUGCAAACUGGUGUUUCCACUGGGAAACAGAAGAGAAGUUUCUCAAAAAACUAUAAAUAGAAAUAUCAUACAUUCUAGUAAUUAUACUACUGGGUAUAGUAUCUAAAGAAAAUGAAAACACUAAUUCAAAAAGGUACAUGUACCCCUAUUUUAUUUCAGCAUUAUUUACAAGAGCCAAGAUAUGGAAGCAGACUAAGUGUCCACUGAUACAUGAAUGGAAAAAGAAGAUAUGGCAUAUAUAUAGUGGAAUAUUACUCAGCCACGAAGAAGAAUGAGAUCUUGCCAUUUGCAGCAACAUGGAUAGACCCAGAAGGUAUAAUGCCAAGUGAAAUAAGCCAGAAAGAGAAAACCAAAUACCAUAUGACUGAACUCACAUGGGAAUGUAAGAAAUAAAGCAAAUGAACAAAUAAAGGUGGGGGAUGGGGGAGACAAACAAAAACCAGACUCUUAAAUACAGAAAACAGGUUGCCAGAGAGGAGGGGGCGGGGCAGAUGAAAUAGAUAAAGGGGAUUAAGAGUAUACUUUCCAUGAUGAGCCCUGAGUAAUGUAUAGAAUUACUGAAUUACUAUAUUGUACACCUGAAACUAUAUAACAUUGUAUGUGAAUUAUAUUUCAAUAAAUCAAGAAAAUUAAA